Molecule: non-coding RNA, 4160 nt
Organism: Lactuca sativa (garden lettuce)
Lineage: Eukaryota; Viridiplantae; Streptophyta; Magnoliopsida; Asterales; Asteraceae
Source: RefSeq, a predicted model, not a curated record
AAGAAAAUCCAAAAAAAUUAGAAAACUCGCUCUCUGUUUCCCCUCAUUUGCACUAGGCGUGUUCUUUUCCCCAUAACCAUGGCCGCUCUUUCUCCCCCUCCCUACAUCGAGUGCUUCAUUUAGAGUUUGCAGUGAAAUAUGAUGAUAUUUUCGGAGCUGGUUUAUAGGGGUUCAUUCACAACCAUCUGGAGGAGAUCGCUACCGGAAAAGUGAUCUCUGGUUGGUUCCUUUAUUACCCUCACCAUUGUUUCACAACUUCACGACCUCCGCCGUCAUCACAAGAUUUGAUGCUAAAUAUUCUCAUUCUCUCGAUAUCCACUGCACCGUGCAUCCAUACAUCAAAUCACUAUAUCAUUCUUUCACCAUCUUGAACCCUAGAUCCCCGUCCCCAGCCUUCUUUCAGCAUAUGUCCCGUGAUUUUGAUAUAUAAGUUUGGCGUUUCUGUUGCAAUGCUUGUUAAUUUUGUCAGAUUAUGUGUUCUUCGCUUUAGGCAAUGGAGUCUCACUAAGGAUUUUUUUAAAGCUGGGGCCAGGGCAACUCGCAUUUUUAUCUUCAUACUCUAGUUGCUUUUGAAGCGCCUGAGGUGAAAAUGGCAUUAAUUGCUUCAAAGAACAAACGCGUGAAAAGUGAUCUGACUAUAGAAAGAAUCGAUGAUGCUAAGAACGUCAUUUUCACAGCUCAACUACCUUCAAAAAAGGUGAGAAAUUUUCUUCACAUCUAAAGACUUUCGGUCAUUACAAAAGCCAAAAUGAACCAGCAAAGAACAAGAAGAUUUAGAAAUUCCAAAGACCACAAGACACUUGUACGUUUUUCUCCUACAUUACAUGCUUCUUCGUACACAUUUAAUUGAAAUAACUCUAGUAGAAAGCUGUAGAAAUGAUUUUCUUUCGCCUAUGCCAACCUUGGAAAUUCCUGAGGAUUGAAUGCCUUUUCAUUUUAGCUAUUUUGCUUCAAGGAAAUUUUGAUGAUGACCAAAUACAAAGAUGAAAAUUGCUAGAGUUUACCAAAAAGUGUAUCGAAAGUCCAAAUUCUGAAUUUUUAUCAUUCUUGAUCAGAGUGCUAUUGAUCUAUUGAUUUAUGUGUACAGGCACGAGUUUAAGAAACUUGGAGGGUAUAUUGUGAAUAUGGAAAAGGUUAGUGAUGAAAAAGGAGGGUAACGGAGAAGAUGAUUUGUUUCCACAAGAGCAAACUUCGAUACAUGUUAUCAGAAGUCAAGGAUAAGAGUGGUAACAGAGAAGACGAUUUGUUUCCUGUGAGUAGAAGGGAUCGUCUGUUGGUUCUGAUGUUGGGUCACCAUACACCGAAAAAUCACCCAAUCAUCAUGUGCAAUUUUCUCAGAUAGUCGAGAAUACAAAAACAUUGAAGGAGAGAUUAAAAUCUUACAUGCGUGAGAUAUCGAAUAAUUUCAUAAACGGUCUUCUUUCGGACAUUGUAGCUAGGGAUCGUUCUUGUGAGCAUUCCUUAUUUUCAGGCUGUAGAUUAUCACUACUAAGCAACAGUUAAACAAAAUUUUGUCAGGUGAAACUAGAGGCGCAGGAAUAAAAUAAGUGAAAGAAUAAGAACCCUCUGGACACUUGUUCCCAACUGCAACAAGAGAGAGAAAGCAAGUAUUCUAGGCGAUGCAAUUGAGUAUAUCAAAUUUCUGCAAAUGCAAGUUCAUGUAUUUCUGUUUAUCAUAGUAGUACCUGAGUUAAUAAAUGUUGUAUUCUUUCCGACUUCUUCUUGUUGGUUGUUGGUUGUCAUUUUAUUUUAUUUUGUUUCAGUCCUUGGCACUUCUCGCUGAUUAUCUGGAUACAAAAGACGCUUCCUCUAAGACAUGGAGCAAACAUGCCCUUGGUCAGAUUGUUUCAAGAAUCAGGCUUUCUCAUUCCAAAAAGUGCUCUAUUGGCGUUCUCUCAUCCUUAGAUGUUUUCUUCUUGUUUCCUUUGUUAACUGCACCUAGUGAGCAUCCUCGUGUCUACAGGUGUAAUGCAAGUUUGUUAUGAGAUAGGUGUUAGAUCUUUAGUCAACAUUGACAAGUGAAGUAAGCUGGUCAACAUAUUGACAAAUUGCAAUUUAUAAAAAAGUUUUCAUCUUGUUUGUACUCAUGUCCUUUUCUGAUAAAACCAGUGCACUUCCGAUACAUUAAUCACUUUUAAAUCUUCCAAGACCAUCUACUAAGGUAAAGCUUUAAUUAUAUCAUCUACAGUGUAUGCUGACUAAAUUACCAUUUUACCCCUACGUGGUAGUUUCUAACACUUGUCUAUUCCAUCCUCUCUCAAUGCAGGGCUGAACUUUAAAUGUAAAUGAUGAAUUUUGCAUUCACUGUUAAUUAGUAGAUGAGAUACUCUUUAGUAACACUCCUCUUUUCUAAUGGGUACCAACUAGAUUUACCAAAACAUUGGCUGAAAAUUUUGCAACAAAAUCCAUAGGGGUAAAAAAGUCAUCAUCAAGAUUUCUUUUUGGGUACGAAUAUAAGCUUAAGCACAUCAAGAUGCCCUUCACUUCUCACUUCUUAUUGCUUUCUAUGCCUUUUGAAAAUCUGGGCUUCAUCGAUCGGGUGUCCAUAAAUAAAACUUUCCAUCAUAAGCUUUUCACUCUUCUUUUGCUCAUGCAUCAAGAAAGUUGAUGUUAGAUAGUUUAUUAUUAUUAUAUUAUUUUCUAGUUGUCAUUCUAUUCCAUCCAACGAAAUAGGUUCCUGAAUUUAUCCAAUAUUUUGAUUUAAGUUAUAACAAAUGUUGUUGAAAUGAAACAUGGACCUUUGGCUUUACUUGAUGAAAACCUUUCAAGUGUUGCCAUUGCUACUCAUGAUCAAUGCUUCAGGUUUGUUAUUAAUUUUUAUUAAUUUCUUUGGUUAUGACAAUCAGCUCAAGGAACCAAAGGGGGUUCAAGUGGGUCCCCAGUUGUUGAUUAGCAAGGACGAGCUGUUGCCUUAAAUGCUGGAAGUAAAUCUUCAAGCGCUUUAGCAUUCUUCUUACCUUUAGAACGAGUGGUUACGGCUCUAAAUUUCUUACAGAUGGGAAAAUAUUCAUUUCAAGAUAAAUGGGAAGCUGUUACAAUACCACGUGGCACCCUCAGACAACAUUUAUCCACAAAGGAUUCGAUGAAACCUGUAGAAUCAGUCUUCAAAAUCAAACAGAGCAGUAGCAGCCACUACUUUUGAUUGGAUCAUCAUCACUUCACCUAAAGCCGAGAUAGAGAAGGAGAUGGAUAUUGAGAAUAUGGAUGAUGAAACUGAGUUUCCAGAGCAUAAAGAGGAGCAUGGGCUAGGGUUACAUACUGUUGAUAUAGUGAUGGAAGAAAAUGCACAUGGUGAUGAUGUAAAUCAAAGUAAUGAAAAAGAUGAAGACGCUUCGGAGGCUGGAAAUGAACUUGUAGGAGUUGUCUCAGAUGAGAAUUUAUUGGAACUUCUGGAGUUAGCAAUGUCAUCAAACACAGCUGAAACUGUGAAAAGAGCCAGAGAACUGAUGGAAUUGGGAGUUUACCUUAUCGUCCUCAUGUCUCAAAUGGCUACACUUAUUAUGGACAUUAUUGCUGGAACAUAUCAAGUAAUUGAAGCUAGUGCUGACUCAUUGUUUGAUGGUAGAAGCUAUUGUAGCCUCGGAAUCCAUAUGAGACACUGAAGCAGUUGCAAGUUCUCAGGCUGCUGAAAUUGGGCUUGAUAUUCUAGCACAAACAAUCCAGGAUGAUUUAGAUAACAUAACUCGUUUUCUAAUACUAGCAAGAGAACCUAUAAUCCCAGGAAUUGACAAGCCCCAUAAGUUUUGCAGACGAGCAUUGUGUUUACAUUAGAAGAAGGCCCUAGGGUCUUGUUCAAUGCUUUAGCUGUGUUUGCUCUAAGGGAUAUAAACUUAUCAAAAGUAAGAUAUUUUUUUCACCCUUUUAUUUAAUAUAUUUGUGAUUGAAUGAAAGUAAUUGACAACCCUUUUUCUGUAAAUGAUGUUGUGAUUGUGGGAGAGGUGUUGUGUUUUUCUCUGUUGCUAGGUAACCUUCUCAAUAACAACAUUCUACUUAAGCAGGUGAGUAAUCAAGAUUAAGGGAGACCUGUAAUCAUGUUUGGCAUUCCUUUCCAGAAAGAAACAGAGUUGUAUGAUUAUUUGUUAGUUUUAUAGGAAUGUAUAACCCACGUUAGCAAUGUAUUAUUUUUGUUUAACAUUUGAAUGAUUCUUUGUAUGACAUUA